This 29-nucleotide non-coding RNA is filed under the name Mus musculus (house mouse). Lineage: Eukaryota; Metazoa; Chordata; Mammalia; Rodentia; Muridae. The record is from RNAcentral.
UUGCCUUGCNCUUUUUUUGUAUCCAGGCC